Callithrix jacchus (white-tufted-ear marmoset) is the source of this 74-nucleotide non-coding RNA. NCBI's taxonomy places the organism in Eukaryota, Metazoa, Chordata, Mammalia, Primates, Cebidae. The record is from Rfam.
GCAGUGCCCUACUUAGAAAGGUGGCAGUUACUUACAUUACAUGUCACCGUGUCCUUUCUACGUAUAGUAAGGCU